This is a long non-coding RNA of Dreissena polymorpha, 1888 nucleotides long. RefSeq lists it as uncharacterized. NCBI's taxonomy places the organism in Eukaryota, Metazoa, Mollusca, Bivalvia, Myida, Dreissenidae. The transcript has 3 exons. The record is from RefSeq and is a predicted model, not a curated record.
UGUGGAACUGGAGCACGAAGACUUCCGUCGUAAGUAAUGUUCGGGUGUGGCAUAGGUGUUAGUUGGUUACCGUAAAAGUAAUAUUCGGAUGUGGCAUUGGAGUUAGUUGGUUACCGUAAAAGAAAUGUUCGGGUGUGGCAUUGGAGUUAGUUGGUAACCGUUAAAGUAAUGUUCGGUGUGAAAUUGGAGUUAGUUGGUAACCGUAAAAGUAAUGUUCGGGUGUGGCAUUGGAGUUAGUUGGUAACCGUAAAAGUAAUAUUCGGAUGCGGCAUUGGAGUAAGUUGGUUACCGUAGUAUGUAAUGCUGUUAAGGUCGUUUUGGCGUAGUGGAUAUGGUAUCCGCCUAGCGAUCAGGAAGUCACGGGUUCGAUCCCCACAGUUAAAGCGUUCUUUAGAUAUCCCCAAUAUAUAUGAAAUACAGGUUCUACCUUGGAAACGUAUUCAAUAUUCAAUAUUCAAUAUGUUCAUUGAGCCCAUGGCUUUCGAUUCAAUCGAGCUUAUAUUAAUUAAACGAAGGAACGGUUCCCGUUUAUCAAUGAUUUACUGGUACAAUACAGAAUGAAAUAAAAGAAAAGAAGUUUUUAGUAUUUUCAUGAAAAAUAUUAAAUAACACAAAGCUUUUAAUAAGUAAAGACCUUACACUUAUAAACUAUCUGUGAUAUAUUAGAGUUCAUAUAAUUGCAUCGGUCUAUCUACUCAUCGAGACAAUACAAUUAAACUAAAAAUGUUUUAACAAUCUUUCUGCAAGUUUAAUUGAGAAAAAGUUCACGUUUUAAUUGUUAUACAAUAAGGGUGUUCAUAUAACUUCAGCUUGGCUUGCCUAACACGUGCGUCCCUGGGAUGACAUCUAACGCACAUACUAUAAGCGCCGUUUUACAGAACGAGGUCCGUGUUUGUAUGACAUUAUAUGUGAGCGUUGAUUGUCUCUUCUUAAAGGAGGUCCAUAUUUGUAUGACAUAAUAUAUGAACGCUGAUUGUCUCUUCUUAAAGGAGGUCCAUGUUUGUAUGACAUUAUAUGUGAACGCUGCUUGUCUCAUCUUAAAUGAGGUCCAUAUUUGUAUGACAUUAUAUGUGAACGCUGCUUGUCUCAUCUUAAAGGAGGUCCAUGUUUGCCUGGCAUUAUAUGUUAAUGCUGAUUGUCUCAUCUUAAAGAUGGUCCAUAUUUGUAUUACAUAAUAUGUGAACGCUGAUUGUCUCUUCUUAAAGGAGGUGCAUGUUUGUAUGGCAUUAUAUGUGAACGCUGAUUGUCUCUUCUUAUAGGAGGUCCAUAUUUGUAUGAAAUUAUAUGUUAACGCUGCGUGUCUCUCUUAAAAGAGGUCCAUAUUUGAAUGACAUUAUAUGUGAACGCUGCUUGUCUCUUCUUAAAGGAGGUCCAAAUUUGUAUGACAUUAUGUAUGAACGCUGCUUGUCUUUUCUUAAAGGAGGUCCAUAUUUGUAUGACAUUAUAUGUGAACGCUGCUUGUCUAUGACAUUAUAUGUGAACGCUGCUUGUCUCUUCUCAAAGGAGGUCCAUAUUUGUAUGACAUUAUAUGUGAACGCUGCUUGUCUUUUCUUAAAGGAGGUCCAUAUUUGUAUGACAUUAUAUGUGAACGCUGCUUGUCUAUGACAUUAUAUGUAAACGCUUCUUGUUUCUUCUUACAGGAGGUCCAUAUUUGUAUGACAUUAUAUGUGAACGCUGCUUGUCUCUUCUUAAAGGAGGUCCAUAUUUGUAUGCCAUCAUAUGUGAACGCUGCUUGUCUCUCUUAAAAGAGGUCCAUAUUUGAAUGACAUUAUAUAUGAACGCUGCUUGUCUCUUCUUAAAGGAGGUCAAUAUUUGUAUCACAUUAUAUGUGAACGCUGCUUGUCUCUUCUUAAAGGAGGUCCAUAUUUGUAUUCCAUUAUAUGUGAAC